GGACGAAGGAGUCUAACGGACCGACGAACCACGGCGACCAUGUCGUAGCCGUGCAGCGAAAGCGAAUGAGACCGCUCGAGUUGCGGCGACGGGUGGCGCGCGUCGCGCAAGCGAUCGCCGCCGCCCGGCAGCCGCGAGAUAGGCCCAACGUUUCGUACAAGGCUGUAUUCUGUGUCCGUACGUUGGGACCCGAAAGAUGGUGAACUAUUCCUGAUUAGGGCUAAGUCAGGGGAAACCCUGAUGGAGGCUCGUAGCGAUUCUGACGUGCAAAUCGAUCGUCCGAGUUGGGUAUAGGGGCGAAAGACUAAUCGAACCAUCUAGUAGCUGGUUCCUUUCGAAGUUUCCCACAGGAUAGCUGGAGCACGACGAGCGCAGUUACACGUGGUAAAGCAAAUGAUUAGAGGCAUUGGGAUUGAAACGAUCUCAACCUAUUCUCAAACUUUAAAUAUGUGCGAUUGGCGAACUUUCAAGCAAAGCGCUGCGGCGCCGAAGUUGUUAGCGAAUGCGCGCUCCCAGUGGGCCAUUUUUGGUAAGCAGAACUGGCGAUGUGGGAUGAACCAAAAGCGGGGCUAAAGUGCCCAAACUUUAUUAACGGGAUACCACAAAAGGCGUUAGUAACUAAAGACAGCAGGACGGUGGCCAUGGAAGUAGGA
Molecule: ribosomal RNA, 653 nt
Filed under: Melba thoracica
Lineage: Eukaryota; Metazoa; Arthropoda; Insecta; Coleoptera; Staphylinidae
Description: eukaryotic LSU rRNA
Rfam family: Eukaryotic large subunit ribosomal RNA
Source: RNAcentral